GACGAACGCUGGCGGCGUGCCUAAUACAUGCAAGUAGAACGCUGAAGGAGGAGCUUGCUUCUCUGGAUGAGUUGCGAACGGGUGAGUAACGCGUAGGUAACCUGCCUGGUAGCGGGGGAUAACUAUUGGAAACGAUAGCUAAUACCGCAUAAGAGUAGAUGUUGCAUGACAUUUGCUUAAAAGGUGCAAUUGCAUCACUACCAGAUGGACCUGCGUUGUAUUAGCUAGUUGGUGGGGUAACGGCUCACCAAGGCGACGAUACAUAGCCGACCUGAGAGGGUGAUCGGCCACACUGGGACUGAGACACGGCCCAGACUCCUACGGGAGGCAGCAGUAGGGAAUCUUCGGCAAUGGACGGAAGUCUGACCGAGCAACGCCGCGUGAGUGAAGAAGGUUUACGGAUCGUAAAGCUCUGUUGUAAGAGAAGAACGAGUGUGAGAGUGGAAAGUUCACACUGUGACGGUAUCUUACCAGAAAGGGACGGCUAACUACGUG
RNAcentral lists this ribosomal RNA (495 nucleotides) under uncultured bacterium. RNAcentral's name for it is "partial 16S ribosomal RNA". It matches the Rfam family "Bacterial small subunit ribosomal RNA", at positions 28 to 507 of the family's 1533-position model. The record is from RNAcentral.